CACCAUGACGACAUUCUCUCUUUCCUCUCUCUGCGACUGUUUGCCCACCUCUUCGACUUCCUCUCUCUCUUCUCUCUGUCCACUGACCAGACCGGUGCCUUGACGUGCGAAUUGAGCGAGGAAUCCAACCCACCGGUCCACCCUCGGCAGCAGAAAAGUGGUUGGCUAAAGCACCAAUCUUUCCGAGAUUUUUGUCCUUCCUAACCUCGCAGAGUUGGAUUCUCCGUCCAUGGCUCUCGCCGGCGUCCGCAGGCACGUCGGCCAAUUCUUAACCAUCAGCAAUGAGCUUAUGGCGGCGUCGCUGUCUGCGGCGAGCUGCCCCGACGAGGUAGAGAAGGCGGAGCGGGCUGGAUGCCGAGACGACUCGGCGGCGCUGAGGCUGAAAGAGAUGGCCAUGGCGGCGAUCCUGGUGGCCGGGGUGCUUGGGGUGGGCCUCCCGCUAGCGGGGCGGAAGCGGCGCGCCCUGCGGACGGACAGCGCCGCGUUCAUGGCGGCCAAGGCGUUCGCCGCCGGGGUCAUCCUGGCCACGGGAUUCGUCCACAUGCUCCACGACGCCGAGCGCGCGCUCACGAACCCCUGCCUCCCCGCCGCGCCGUGGCGCCGGUUCCCGUUCCCUGGGUUCGUCGCCAUGAUCGCCGCGCUCGCCACGCUGGUUCUCGACUUCUUGGCCACCAGAUUCUAUGAAAUCAAGCAUCGUGCUGAGGCCGCCCGCGUCAAGGCCGCCGCCGCCACCGCGCUCGCUGCCUCAUCUGCGAGCGACGAGGACAUCACCGUGGUCACCGUCACUGAGGACGAACACAAGGCCCCGCUCUUGCAAACGCAGUGCCACGGACAUAGCCACGGCCACAACCGCAACCAUGUGCACGAGCUAGUGCAAGUAGAGGGUAGCGAGGGGGAGGUGUCGGCGCACGUGCGGUCUGUCGUUGUGUCACAGAUACUGGAGAUGGGGAUCGUGUCGCACUCCGUGAUUAUCGGGUUGUCAUUGGGAGUGUCGCGGAGCCCAUGCACAAUCAGGCCGCUUGUCGCAGCUCUUGCAUUCCACCAGUUCUUCGAGGGUUUUGCACUUGGCGGGAGCAUUGCUCAGGCACAAUUCAAGACCGUUUCGGCAGUUCUAAUGGCAUCCUUCUUUGCCAUUACAACACCGGCGGGGAUAGCUGCUGGGGCAGGAUUGGCCUCAUUCUACAAUCCGAAUAGCCCGAGAGCUCUUGUGGUGGAGGGCAUUCUUGACUCAGUAUCAGCUGGCAUCCUCAUAUACAUGUCGCUAGUGGAUCUCAUUGCUGCCGAUUUCUUGGGUGGAAAGAUAGCAGGAUCCCUGCGGCAGCAAUUGAUGGCAUACAUCGCCCUGUUCCUUGGUGCUCUCUCCAUGUCAUCACUUGCAAUAUGGGCUUGAACCCACCUUCGAUGAGGUGAAGAUAAAGGAGCGACAUUGUUCCGGGAAAACAUACGAGGUUACUGAUAACCUCCAUGCAGUCCGAUGCAACCAGGACAUUGCGCUCCUGACGUCCAGAGCCAAUGGCAAAGCUUCACUGCAAAGCUGUUGCCUCCAAGGCUCCAACUCUGGAGGAUCUGUCAGACCAUCCACUACAACAGCAGAGUCCGCCAAAAAGUUACCAUUGGCAUCCCACCCUGAUCACCUCACAGUGGCCGAGCCAGCAAGCAACUCAGGGACUCAUCUCCUUCCUUCUCCAGCCCCCAUCUUCUUCUUCCUCCUCUUCUCCAUUUCAUCUCCCUCCUCUUCUCCUUCUUGGCUCCGUGGCACAGCGGGCAGCUCCAGCCCCCUGCUGCACCGUUGAAUCAGCCCCUGACUGCGCUGAUGGCACCUCUUGUAAUACCGAAUUUUUGGAGAAAAAAUAAAAAGAGAUUUGACUAAAAAUUUUACUUUUUGAUCCGUUGCUUGUAUGGACGAUCGGAGACCGCGGUUGCGUUCAUCUUGUCGAGACGAACCCAUUUUGCUAUUCAUAUAUCCGUUCCGGGCAUUUUGUGACCCGUAGAAAGCCCAAUAAUUUUAGACCGUUCGUUGUUUAAAAAAAAAAAAAGAAAUAAAGGAUAAGUAUCUGCCGAUCCAUCAGACUUUUCAGCACUCGUGCUUCGCGUUUCUCUCUCUCGCGCGCGUCUCUCUCUCUGUCGGCGCCGAGCUUCCACGGUGCGUGUUCUGCGCUGGGCUGCUCGCCGGCCGACCUGCUUGCUCCGGCCGUCGCGCCCCUGCUGUCGCCGUCG
Molecule: RNA transcript, 2217 nt
Organism: Phragmites australis (common reed)
Lineage: Eukaryota; Viridiplantae; Streptophyta; Magnoliopsida; Poales; Poaceae
Gene name: zinc transporter 7-like
Exons: 5
Source: RefSeq, a predicted model, not a curated record